RNAcentral lists this ribosomal RNA (1472 nucleotides) under Salmonella enterica subsp. enterica serovar Typhimurium. Its description in RNAcentral is "bacterial LSU rRNA". It matches the Rfam family "Bacterial large subunit ribosomal RNA", at positions 1 to 1417 of the family's 2925-position model. Lineage: Bacteria; Pseudomonadati; Pseudomonadota; Gammaproteobacteria; Enterobacterales; Enterobacteriaceae. The record is from RNAcentral.
GGGUUGUGAGGUUAAGCGACUAAGCGUACACGGUGGAUGCCCUGGCAGUCAGAGGCGAUGAAGGGCGUGCUAAUCUGCGAUAAGCGCCGGUAAGGUGAUAUGAACCGUUAUAACCGGCGAUACCCGAAUGGGGAAACCCAGUGUGAUUCGUCACACUAUCAUUAACUGAAUCCAUAGGUUAAUGAGGCGAACCGGGGGAACUGAAACAUCUAAGUACCCCGAGGAAAAGAAAUCAACCGAGAUUCCCCCAGUAGCGGCGAGCGAACGGGGAGGAGCCCAGAGCCUGAAUCAGCAUGUGUGUUAGUGGAAGCGUCUGGAAAGGUGCGCGAUACAGGGUGACAGCCCCGUACACAAAAGCGCAUGUGCUGUGAGCUCGAUGAGUAGGGCGGGACACGUGAUAUCCUGUCUGAAUAUGGGGGGACCAUCCUCCAAGGCUAAAUACUCCUGACUGACCGAUAGUGAACCAGUACCGUGAGGGAAAGGCGAAAAGAACCCCGGCGAGGGGAGUGAAAAAGAACCUGAAACCGUGUACGUACAAGCAGUGGGAGCACAGGUUUACCUGUGUGACUGCGUACCUUUUGUAUAAUGGGUCAGCGACUUAUAUUCUGUAGCAAGGUUAACCGUAUAGGGGAGCCGUAGGGAAACCGAGUCUUAACCGGGCGUUAAGUUGCAGGGUAUAGACCCGAAACCCGGUGAUCUAGCCAUGGGCAGGUUGAAGGUUGGGUAACACUAACUGGAGGACCGAACCGACUAAUGUUGAAAAAUUAGCGGAUGACCUGUGGCUGGGGGUGAAAGGCCAAUCAAACCGGGAGAUAGCUGGUUCUCCCCGAAAGCUAUUUAGGUAGCGCCUCGUGAAUUCAUCUCCGGGGGUAGAGCACUGUUUCGGCUAGGGGGCCAUCCCGGCUUACCAACCCGAUGCAAACUGCGAAUACCGGAGAAUGUUAUCACGGGAGACACACGGCGGGUGCUAACGUCCGUCGUGAAGAGGGAAACAACCCAGACCGCCAGCUAAGGUCCCAAAGUCAUGGUUAAGUGGGAAACGAUGUGGGAAGGCCCAGACAGCCAGGAUGUUGGCUUAGAAGCAGCCAUCAUUUAAAGAAAGCGUAAUAGCUCACUGGUCGAGUCGGCCUGCGCGGAAGAUGUAACGGGGCUAAACCAUGCACCGAAGCUGCGGCAGCGAACGUAUCACCCAAGACAACUUUACGGAGUUGACGAUUGACGGAGCGAAGCGACGUCAAAGCGUUCAUUAAAGUCGAGUUGGCUUAGGGAUACGUUCGUUGGGUAGGGGAGCGUUCUGUAAGCCUGUGAAGGUGUGUCGUGAGGCAUGCUGGAGGUAUCAGAAGUGCGAAUGCUGACAUAAGUAACGAUAAAGCGGGUGAAAAGCCCGCUCGCCGGAAGACCAAGGGUUCCUGUCCAACGUUAAUCGGGGCAGGGUGAGUCGACCCCUAAGGCGAGGCCGAAAGGCGUAGUCG